This 468-nucleotide ribosomal RNA is filed under the name uncultured bacterium. Its description in RNAcentral is "partial 16S ribosomal RNA". It matches the Rfam family "Bacterial small subunit ribosomal RNA", at positions 28 to 507 of the family's 1533-position model. The record is from RNAcentral.
GACGAACGCUGGCGGCGUGCUUAACACAUGCCAGUCGAACGGAAAGGCCCUGCUUUUGUGGGGUGCUCGAGGGGCGCACGGGUGAGAAACACGUGUGUAACCUGCCCUUGCCUUUCGGAUAACUUCAGGAAACUGGGGAUAAUACCGGAUAGGAGCUCUUGCUCCACAGGGUGGGUUGGAAAGUUUCGGCGGUUGGGGAUGGACUCGCGGCUUAUCAGCUUGUUGGUGGGGUAGUGGCUUACCAAGGCUUUGACGGAUAGCCGGCCUGGGAGCGUGACCGGCCACAUUGGGACUGAGAUACGGCCCAGAAGCCGACGGGAGGCAUCAGUGGUGAGCAUUACACAGUGGCCGGAAGCCUGAGGCGGCAACGCCGGGUGCGGGAUGACGGCCUUCGGGGGGUAAACCGCUUUCGCCUUGGAUGAAGCGGUAGUGACGGUAAUGGGUAAAGAAGCACCGGCUAACUACGUG